RNAcentral lists this ribosomal RNA (408 nucleotides) under uncultured bacterium. RNAcentral's name for it is "partial 16S ribosomal RNA". It matches the Rfam family "Bacterial small subunit ribosomal RNA", at positions 28 to 526 of the family's 1533-position model. The record is from RNAcentral.
GACGAACGCUGGCGGCGUGCUUAACACAUGCAAGUCGAACGGAGUGGCGAACGGGUGAGUAACGCGUAAUCAACCUGCCCUUCAGCGGGGGACAACAGUUGGAAACGACUGCUAAUACCGCAUACUGAAGGAGGGGCUUGCGUCUGAUUAGCUAGUGGGAGGGGUCACCGCCCACCAAGGCGAUGAUCAGUAGCUGGGCUGGGAGGAUGGACGGCCACAUGGGGAAUGAGAAACGGGCCAGAAUCCGAAGGGAGGCAGCAGUGGGGAAAGUUCCGAAAAGGAGGAGAGUCUGACGGAGCAACGCCGCGUGAGGGAUGACGGCCUGCGGGGUGUAAAGCUCUGUUAAUCGGGACGCGGUACCGGAAUAGAAAGCCACGGCUAACUACGUGCCAGCAGCCGCGGUAAUAC